RNAcentral lists this long non-coding RNA (235 nucleotides) under Trifolium pratense (red clover). RNAcentral describes it as "long non-coding RNA (TPRA_LNC013733)". The record is from RNAcentral. Lineage: Eukaryota; Viridiplantae; Streptophyta; Magnoliopsida; Fabales; Fabaceae.
AGGUAUUCAAUCAAGACUUUUACAAAAGUUAAAUAAAUCUUGUGGUAUUCAAUUAAGACAAAUAUGAUUUUUUUUCAGGGCAAUAAAAUCCGUUGGUAUUCAACUGAGAUUUGGUACUACUUUUAAAAUGUCUACUGGUAUUCAAAAGUCUACCGAUUUUGAUGGAUUCUUCUAUGGAAUGGAUUUUGAGAGACUUUUUAGUUGAAAAUACACUUGAUAGACUUUUUCAACAAUC